UGCCCUUUUGUACCUCCCUAACUUUUUACCUUAUUUCCACUAAGAAUGCUUUUUCUGUACUUGUCUCUCUGUCCAGCAGCAACUCAUUCUUUAAAGCCAGUUUUUCCUUCCUUUUAGUAUCUGUAGUACUUUCUAUAAAACUUAUUAUAGAACUGGUUACAGAGUAUUAUAGUAGCCAGUUUUAACCUUAAUUUCUUACUAGACUGAGUUAUUUGUUCGGCUAGGCGUUGUAGAAAUUGGAAACCAAAAUGAAGAGGAACUUUAGGAGUUUGCAAUCUAGUGGAAGACAUCCAAUUUUGGUGAGUUGGUGGGGGAUGAUAAUGGAAAGCUGUUAAAGAGAAUAUGCUUGCUGCAUGACCCAUUAAAACAGAAUUGUGACUGGAAAUGUUUAUAUGGUGUCUUAAAAUUAAUGAAUUUUAUUUGUUUGCAGGUGGCAGUGGGCCUGCAUCACAGGUUGCAGCAGAUGUUCUCAAUAUUUCUAUUAAAAUUUCCUUAUUUCCAUAUGCAAGAGGAGCCCCAGAGCUGCAUCCUUAUGGUAGCUACCAUGCCGUGAUGUAAGCUGCCAUUCACUGGGGAGCUUUGGCAAUAGAAUUGGCUAGAUCAGGAAGCCUAUGUCAACUAUGGAACAACAACUUGCAGCUCAUCUCUAUUGAUGAUACACUGCCUCUAGGACUGGGACAGAUAGCCACUGAGUACCUGCUUCAAAUCACCCUGCACGUUUUCUCUUUGGAAAGAUAAGCACUGGAGAACCAUCUCGUUACCUUCAGCAGAAAUGGAAACAAAUCAAGACAUUAAGAAUGCCGCAGUGGACAGCAGUUAUGCAAGGUUCAGCAGAGGAAGUUUUCAAGAUGGUGUGCCUCACUAGCCAGAAAUCAGAAAAGAUCGAAGCUAGCCUUUUCAUCUCAGCUGCUCCUUAAAUCAGUGCAACCCCUCCAAAUUAAUGUGAAUUGAAACUUGCAUUGCUUUUCAACUUAAUUGAAUACUUACUAUAUGUGAACCACUGCACAAAAUAGGGGAAGAAGAUGUGGGAGACAAAGAUGUGGAGCCUGUCUUCAAUAAAUUUACAGUUAGUUUCAGGGUACAUUGUUUUUCUUCUGCUGUUAAUUAGGUGUAUCCCCAAGACAAUAAAUACAUGAAUGGAAAAGUAUAUUCUGUGUUUUAAGUCUCUUUAAUAAAAAACAAAACAAAAUCCAAAAAAACUCCUAACAUGGCAACUCAGGACAUUUUAAUCCUUUUUUUUGUUGUUGGGCUUCUGAUAGGAUCCAUUUUAUUGAUUCCAUAAAUAUUUAGUAGACUUUAGACAUAUUAAUACAUUGUAGUUUGAGUUAAUUUGCAUUAAAUUCUGUUUUUUUCCCCUUAGGUAUAGAUUGUCUGUUGGAAAAAUAUAUUGCUUGUGGAUUUCUUGGGGAGUGGGAAGGUGAAUUAUACCUGUUGUCUCUACAGUCCACUACCUUCCACACCCUAGGGCAGUGGUCCCCAACCUUCUUGGCACCAGGGAUCAGUUUCCUGGAAGACAAUUUUUCUGUGGAUGGUGUGGGGAUGGUUUUGGGAUGGAACUGUUCCACCUCAGAUCAUCAGGCAUUAGUUAGGCUCUCAUAACGAGUGCGCAGCCUAGAUCCCUCACAUGCACAGUUCACAGUAGGGUUUGCGCUGCUAUGAGAAUCUAAGGCUGCCACUGAUCUGACAGGAGGCAGAACUCAGGUGGCAAUGCUUACUGGCCCACUGCUCACCUCUUGCUGUGCGGCCUGGUUCCUAAUAGGCCAUGGACCCCCACAGACGGGUACUAGUCUGCAGCCUGUGGACCCCAGCCCUAGGGGCCUGCCAUUCUGAGUGAGUUAUUAGCAUGAAGAAGAGGAAGAUCUGGAUCAAACGUGGGUGAUGGUACUCAGAGACCCAAGAUAGGAUAGGGAUGGAACAAAAUCCAUCUGGGCAACGGCUCUAUGAAAAUUUGGCUAAGUAAUUAUUUCAGUAUUCAUUGUAUUCAUUGUCCUUCGUGUUCCAUAAGUUAAAUGACUGUCUAAUUUUUCCAAAAAUUUAUUUCUGACUUGAGAAUAAGUGUGUCAUGAUUUUCCCAGUGUAAAGACACUGAUAUAACUGUAGAUACCAGACAUUUUAUGUAGUGUCUAUGACACAUUUUAGUAUGUAUGAGCCAACAAUAGACAUGUCUUUGUCUUGAGGAGUGUCCAUCUGAAUUGAAAAUGUGUCAGCUUUUUUUUAACAUCAUCAACAGACUUCUUAAUUAAGCUGCCAAUACAUACUGCCAAUAGCACUGUGUGCUGUCUGAGAAAUGCAUUGUGUAAGUGCUAUUUCCAUCUUAUUAAAUAAACAAUGUUGCUCUGUAUAAACUGGAUUUAAAGUGUUCUUUGAAUGAGGCAUUAUAUUGCUCCAUAAAUAAUGUGAUGUGAAUUCUCAUAUGAUCCCUUUUAACUUAAUUUCUAAAAAAAUAUUAUUUGCUCCUCAGUAAGGAAUAGCUCUAAUUGGACUGGUAACUUUAGUGAUAUGAUUUGUCUGUAACAGGCUGAAUCGCCCCACUCCCAAACUCCUGGUCGUGAUACUGGAUAUUUGUUAUGCCACUUUUAGUUUGCAUGAGGUAUCUUCCAGGAAGUAUUAGUUAUUAACUUGUGUUCUACUAAACUGUAGAUAUUUAUUUCCUGUUCUGGAAGAUUUCUUGGAGUGUCCAUCUGUGCAUUCCUGGUGCCUAGUGUAGUCUUGCUAAUGGAAUAGCACCUUUAUUGGUGCUACUUAGGGGUUGGUAGCUUACAAUCAAUCUACUUGGAACGUAUCCAAAUA
This is a long non-coding RNA of Homo sapiens (human), 2790 nucleotides long. Ensembl annotates it as NR2F1 antisense RNA 1. Its record names the gene NR2F1-AS1. The record is from Ensembl. NCBI's taxonomy places the organism in Eukaryota, Metazoa, Chordata, Mammalia, Primates, Hominidae.